CAGGAGGAAGCUCCUGAGCAGUUUAAGAUUGUAAUACCAAGAAUUCCUGCAUAUUUUACGGGAACAGGAGAUCUAAUGACCGCACUUCUACUUGGGUGGAGUAAUAAAUAUCCCGACAACCUUGAUAAGGCAGCGGAGCUUGCAGUAUCCAGUUUGCAGGCACUUUUGGUGAGGACAGUGAAUGAUUAUACAAGUGUGGAAUUUGAUUCAAAAUCGAGCAGCUUAGAGAUUCGGUUAAUUCAAAGUCAGGAUGACAUCCGGAAUCCGAAAUUGACAUUCAAAGCUCAAAAAUACACCUGAAAGCUAAUACAUGAUCAAUGAUGUGUAUUGAAGUAACAAUGACCCUCUUGUUUUUUAGUAAAAGGUAUAAUGCUAUACAAAGUUUAUACCAUUGUGUUAGAAUAAA
Molecule: long non-coding RNA, 406 nt
Organism: Hibiscus syriacus
Lineage: Eukaryota; Viridiplantae; Streptophyta; Magnoliopsida; Malvales; Malvaceae
Exons: 4
Source: RefSeq, a predicted model, not a curated record